This 755-nucleotide ribosomal RNA is filed under the name Bacillus sp. (in: firmicutes). Its description in RNAcentral is "bacterial SSU rRNA". It matches the Rfam family "Bacterial small subunit ribosomal RNA", at positions 84 to 825 of the family's 1533-position model. The record is from RNAcentral. Lineage: Bacteria; Bacillati; Bacillota; Bacilli; Caryophanales; Bacillaceae.
CCCGGAUGUUAGCGGCGGACGGGUGAGUAACACGUGGGUAACCUGCCUGUAAGACUGGGAUAACUCCGGGAAACCGGAGCUAAUACCGGAUAGUUCCUUGAACCGCAUGGUUCAAGGAUGAAAGACGGUUUCGGCUGUCACUUACAGAUGGACCCGCGGCGCAUUAUCUAGUUGGUGAGGUAACGGCUCACCAAGGCGACGAUGCGUAGCCGACCUGAGAGGGUGAUCGGCCACACUGGGACUGAGACACGGCCCAGACUCCUACGGGAGGCAGCAGUAGGGAAUCUUCCGCAAUGGACGAAAGUCUGACGGAGCAACGCCGCGUGAGUGAUGAAGGUUUUCGGAUCGUAAAGCUCUGUUGUUAGGGAAGAACAAGUGCAAGAGUAACUGCUUGCACCUUGACGGUACCUAACCAGAAAGCCACGGCUAACUACGUGCCAGCAGCCGCGGUAAUACGUAGGUGGCAAGCGUUGUCCGGAAUUAUUGGGCGUAAAGGGCUCGCAGGCGGUUUCUUAAGUCUGAUGUGAAAGCCCCCGGCUCAACCGGGGAGGGUCAUUGGAAACUGGGAAACUUGAGUGCAGAAGAGGAGAGUGGAAUUCCACGUGUAGCGGUGAAAUGCGUAGAGAUGUGGAGGAACACCAGUGGCGAAGGCGACUCUCUGGUCUGUAACUGACGCUGAGGAGCGAAAGCGUGGUGAGCGAACAGGAUUAUAUACCCUGGUAGUCCACGCCGUAAACGAUGAGUGCUAAGUGUUA